This 77-nucleotide transfer RNA is filed under the name bacterium. RNAcentral describes it as "tRNA-Cys". It matches the Rfam family "tRNA". From Rfam's summary of the family: Transfer RNA (tRNA) molecules are approximately 80 nucleotides in length. Their secondary structure includes four short double-helical elements and three loops (D, anti-codon, and T loops). The record is from RNAcentral.
GGCCAGGUAGCCAAGUGGUCUAAGGCGAGGGUCUGCAAAACCCUUAUUCAGGGGUUCAAAUCCCCUCCUGGCCUCCA